Molecule: long non-coding RNA, 2288 nt
Organism: Tyto alba (common barn owl)
Lineage: Eukaryota; Metazoa; Chordata; Aves; Strigiformes; Tytonidae
Exons: 3
Source: RefSeq, a predicted model, not a curated record
AGAGAGAGAGAGAGAGAGAGAGAGAAGAGGGGGAGACUCACACAGAGACCUGCUUUCCUGAGCUGAGCUGCUGGUUCCCAAGCAGAAAGUAUUAGGAGAAACACAGCAUCUUGUCUCUUUGCUGCAUUUACACAAUGAAAUCACUUCUAUUUUUAUUCCUGCUCACCGGCCGUUUUUGCUUGCAUCCACUCCGAGCCGUGGACGAUGGGAACAACCAAGUACUUAAAAACAAACAGACAAAAAACAAAAGAGGAAAAGAAAAAAAAAACAACAAACAAACAAACAAAAAAAACAGAAACAAAAACAAACAAACAACAAACAAACCCAACCAGGCUGGGAUGAGGAUUACUCACUUUAGCGCUGGCUGGACCCGGCCGGGAGGCAGCGGGGCUGGGAUUGUGCCGGGUUUCAAGGACACGGGAGAUGAUCAGGACUUUGGGAGCCAACAUCUGCCUGGCUGGUGACGUCAGCAGCCCCGUGUAAUCCUCUUGUACUGAAGGCAGAUGCCUUAUUUGUUUGGCUGGAGAGGCAUUAAUCCCUAAUUCUGGAGCAGCAAGCGAGGGGGAGAGACCGGACCGCUUCCUACCCCCCGAAAGCAGCUAGCGGGGCUCUCCUCCACUCCUGCGCUCCGCGGAUCCGACUGGGCAGAGGAGCCGUCAGCCCUCGGCAGGCGGCCGCACGCAGGAGCUGCGGUGCCGAGGGCGGAGGGGGGGGGGGGCCGGACCCGCCUGCCCAGUUUGCCCUCGGACGCCCCAGCAAGCCACGGGGAAAAACCCUCCGGAAAGCCCAGCUCGCCGCCGGAAUGCGGCCGCCGCCGGCAUCCCAGCGCAGCCCGGUUCGCCUCUCCUCUCCCGCCCGGGCCCUGGCGCGGAGGCAGCAGUCGAGGUCAGCCCGCCCGGUUCCCGGGCUCCGGCCGGGGUCGAGUCCGCAGGGCGAUGCACGGUGCCCGGCCGCCCCGCUCCUCCCCGGCGUGCCAUCCGCACCGAGAAGGAAUAGUCCCCGUCCUGAGCCGGGAAAGAUGGCAAUGAGCUUAGUAAUAAUAAUAAAAAAAUCUUAGGCUGAUUUUUUUUUUUUUUUUUGCUAUUGUUAUUAUUGUAAUGACUUCCACCCCUCAUUUCCUCACUCGCCCAGUUCAGCGUAGGCAAGGCCAGAUGGGCUGCCCAGACCCUCCCGGGAAAGGGGCAGGUGCGAGUGAGUUACAUUUUUUUUUUUUUUUUUUUCCGCUUUACAAAGAAAGAUGACACGUCCUGCCCUUUCAUUUUUCACUGCCGAAAGACACCCCCCCACCCCCCCCUCUUUCCCCGCCGCCUCGGCCGAGAGGAGCGGGGCUGCUCUGGGGGUGCGGGUGUCCCCCCCCCGCGCUCCAGCGGAGCAGCAGGACCCGGCGGAUCGAGGCAGCCGGAGAGACACGGUCCCUCCCAGCCAGGGAUGCCAACCCACAGACGUCGAGUCGGGGAGAGACAACUCCUGCGUUUAAAAUCACGCGAAGACGUUGGCGAAAUUAAAGCAGUCGCCUGGAAGUGUGUAAUAAACACACGUUUAAUUUCCUUCUUUUUUUUUUUCUUUUUUUUUCUUUUUUUUAAUCCGUUAAAUACACGUUUAACAGCUUCCUGGGCAUUGCAAACAACAAACGGGCUAGUAAGAAAACUCGAGCAUGAAUUACACGCAGCCCAGGCCAGGAUGGGACUAGGGCGGAGGGAAAUGACCGUUUUUUGUUUUGGUUUGGUUUGGUUUUUUUUUUGUCUUUUCGGGAAUCAGUUGCUAUUCUGCUUCCAGAGAGAGAGAGAGAGAGAGAGAGGGAGCGCUCCAAGGCUCUGACUCUCCGUGUUCACAGCGGACCUUGAUUUAAUGUCAUACAAUUAAGGCACGCGGUGAAUGCCAAGAGCGGAUCCUCUAAGGCAGCAUGAAAGAUUUCGCUAGAACGUAACAUAAGAAUGUUCAUAAUAAAAAUAAUAGCAAUAAGUUUAAAAUAAAUUUUAAAAGAAAAAAAAAAAAAAGGAGAGACGAAGCAAUAAAGAGCUCGGCAGCCUGUACUCACCUACGGAAAGCGAGACGGAGCAGGACCGGCGGACUGAACGGCUCAGCCCGGCGGAGAGGAGGUGCCGCUGCCAGGGGAUGGGCGCCCGCCGGGGCCGCUGUCAGCUGCAGGUAACGGGGCCGUGGGGGGGUACUGGAGCGGUGCGGUAGCCGUGGUGGUUUCUCAAGGUAGUGGUGACUCGACGUCUCGCUUUCCUGGGCUAAACCAUGUAAAGUCGCUUAAUGGGAAAUAAAUACAUUUUCGAAUAUUA